Molecule: RNA transcript, 1989 nt
Organism: Panicum virgatum (switchgrass)
Lineage: Eukaryota; Viridiplantae; Streptophyta; Magnoliopsida; Poales; Poaceae
Gene name: pre-mRNA splicing factor SR-like 1
Exons: 5
Source: RefSeq, a predicted model, not a curated record
GAUUUGACUAGGCACAGUCGGCGGGACCCAACCGCCUUGACCCCACGGCACGGGCUCCUCCUCUCCUACGCCUCUCGUCCAGGUUCUCCUCCCCCCAAAUCCAACGUGAUUCCUCCGAGCCGCCGCCGAGGCGGCGUAUCCCCGCCAACCCGUGGCUCCGCUCGCCUCCCGGCUGAACACACAAGAGUGCUGGGAAUGGAGAUCCAAUCGUCAGGCCGGUCCAUCGACGUGCUGAUGGAGAAGGUGCUGUCCGUGAACAUCCUCUCCUCGGACUACUUCAAGGAGCUCUACAAGUUCAAGACCUACCACGAGGUCGUCGACGAGAUCUAUAACCAGGUCGACCACGUCGAGCCCUGGAUGACCGGCAACUGCCGCGGGCCCUCCUCCGCCUUCUGCCUCCUCUACAAGUUCUUCACCAUGAAGCUCACCGUCAAGCAGAUGCACGGCCUGCUCAAGCACCCGGACUCCCCAUACAUCAGAGCUAUUGGAUUUCUCUACCUGCGAUAUGUUGCAGAACCAAAAACACUGUGGACUUGGUACGAACCCUACAUCAAGGAUGACGAGGAGUUUUCCCCUGGAUCAAAUGGUAAAAUGACUACAAUGGGCGUUUACGUGCGUGAUCUCCUCCUUGGCCAGGUAUAUCUCUUGAACUUAUUUGACAUUUCUGCCAUACAACAAAACGGUAUUCUAAGCUGCUAUCAGUGUCCUUUAGUGUUACCCAUUUACAUUGAGGAUGGACAUCAUUAACCAUAUUAUUUUCUGAACCUAAAUGCAAUUAGUCUUUCUUGAAUCACUCACCUGUUGAUUUGCCAUACUGAGGGGAAAUUUCAAUUGUGGAGUUGCUUUUAAGAGGAGACAUCAUCUCUUCCGCCAGUAACAUCACUGUUUAAGUACUAUUUCGACAGUCUUCUUCCACGAGUGCCUCUCCCAAUUCUGCGACAGGUCACCAGCCAUCUUGAGAAGCUGAAGCUUCCAACAAAGCAGUCAGGAAUGACAGGGGAUUCCAAUAGGCAUGAAUCAAAUGAUACUGCCCGAAGGCCUCCUUCCGUAAAGGCUUCGUUGUCUGUCUCUUUUGGUCAGCGUGCUCCACACCGUGCAUCCACAAGGGAUUCGUCCCCAGUUCGAAGAACAUUACCUUCCAAACAGGAAAAGGAUAGAAGUUAUGAUGGUGACCGUGCAAGAUCACCACCAAGGAAGCACCGAAGUCGGAGCCGUGAGCGCGAUCAUGAUUCUGAGAGGGACCGUUCAGAUCGUGAUCGUGGCAGGUACAAGGAUAGGGACCAUGAUCGACAUGCCCGUGAUCACAGAGACCGGGACCAUCAUCGGUCAAGUUAUUCAGAUAGGGAUGGUGAGAGGCGAGGCCGUGAAAAGAGGGACAGGGAUUCUGACAGAAGUGGACGUUCAAUCACCCACAGGAGCAGGAGCAGGAGCAGGAGUCCAGUCAGUGGCAGAAUUGACGGUGACAAACAUCGCUCCAGCCCAUUUGGUAAGGUGCCAGAAUCAUCCAACCUGGCAAAGCUGAAGGAUCUAUAUGGUGAUGCAACAAACACAAAUAACGAUUCUGGUGAUGAUAGAGCUCAUGGGGAUUCUGGAACCGAAGAGGUAAUCCGAUUGGGAGGCCAAAGGUGGAGGUGAAUCUGGGCUCAUGAAUUCUUGUUUUUACUAAGAUCAAUAUACUGUGUCAGAAGUGACCCAAGAAUGAUGGGCUGCAUGGCUGUAUCUGUCUUGCCCCAUACAAUUUCCAAGAUUUACAUGGAAGUUUUUUUCUAGCUAUUAUGGUGUUAAUCUUUACAUUUCUUAGCCCAUGAAUGCUGCCAAAUCAUUACGGGCUUAUUUUAGCCAGCACGUGAGUAUGAUGCAAUAAGCAUAGGUGUAUAGAUUUAUAAGGUAACUAAGCCUUGCUGGUUCAAAAUUGCAAAAUGUACGAUAGAUGCUUGUAUGGUUCCUUUUGGGACGGCGCCGAGUUGCCAUGUACGCACACUUGCGAAA